ACCAGACUCCUACGGGAGGCAGCAGUGGGGGAUAUUGCACAAUGGGGGGAACCCUGAUGCAGCGACGCCGCGUGGGUGAAGAAGCGCCUCGGCGCGUAAAGCCCUGUCAGCAGGGAAGAAAAUGACGGUACCUGAAGAAGAAGCCCCGGCUAACUACGUGCCAGCAGCCGCGGUAAUACGUAGGGGGCAAGCGUUAUCCGGAUUUACUGGGUGUAAAGGGGGCGCAGACGGCGAUGCAAGCCAGGAGUGAAAGCCCGGGGCCCAACCCCGGGACUGCUCUUGGAACUGCGUGGCUGGAGUGCAGGAGGGGCAGGCGGAAUUCCUGGUGUAGCGGUGAAAUGCGUAGAUAUCAGGAGGAACACCGGUGGCGAAGGCGGCCUGCUGGACUGCAACUGACGUUGAGGCCCGAAAGCGUGGGGAGCAAACAGGAUUAGAUACCCUAGUAG
This 446-nucleotide ribosomal RNA is filed under the name uncultured bacterium. Its description in RNAcentral is "partial 16S ribosomal RNA". It matches the Rfam family "Bacterial small subunit ribosomal RNA", at positions 330 to 793 of the family's 1533-position model. The record is from RNAcentral.